GGGCCGCUAGCUCAAUGGUAGAGCAGCAGACUUUUAAUCUGCGGGUUCAGGGUUCGAGCCCCUGGCGGCCCA
Molecule: transfer RNA, 72 nt
Filed under: Actinobacteria bacterium 13_1_20CM_3_71_11
Lineage: Bacteria; Bacillati; Actinomycetota
Description: tRNA-Lys
Rfam family: tRNA
About the family: Transfer RNA (tRNA) molecules are approximately 80 nucleotides in length. Their secondary structure includes four short double-helical elements and three loops (D, anti-codon, and T loops).
Source: RNAcentral